CGAGUGAACAGGGAAGAGCUCAAAUUUGUAAUCUGGCGUCCUUUGGGCGUCCGAGUUGUAAUCUAUAGAAGCGUUUUCCGUGCUGGACCAUGUCCAAGUCCCUUGGAACAGGGUAUCAAAGAGGGUGAUAAUCCCGUACUUGACAUGACAACCAGUGCUCUGUGAUACGUUCUCUACGAGUCGAGUUGUUUGGGAAUGCAGCUCAAAAUGGGUGGUGAGUUCCAUCUAAAGCUAAAUAUUGGCGAGAGACCGAUAGCGAACAAGUACCGUGAGGGAAAGAUGAAAAGCACUUUGGAAAGAGAGUUAAACAGUACGUGAAAUUGUUGAAAGGGAAACGAUUGAAGUCAGUCGUGUCCAAGGGGUUCAGCCGGUUAUGCCGGUGUAUUCCCCUUGGACGGGUCAACAUCAGUUUGGACCGGUGGAAAAGGGUAGUUGGAAGGUAGCAGCUGCGGCUGUGUUAUAGACUUCUGCCGCACACACUGGUCUAGACUGAGGCAUGCAGCUCGCCCUUGUGGCCGGGGUUUACCCACGUACGAGCUUAGG
This 543-nucleotide ribosomal RNA is filed under the name Kockovaella sacchari. RNAcentral's name for it is "LSU rRNA". It matches the Rfam family "Eukaryotic large subunit ribosomal RNA", at positions 90 to 621 of the family's 3401-position model. The record is from RNAcentral. Lineage: Eukaryota; Fungi; Basidiomycota; Tremellomycetes; Tremellales; Cuniculitremaceae.